GGCUUGCUGCCUUGGGAUCGGGAAACGCCCUAUCAGCUUGUUGGUGAGGUAACGGCUCACCAAGGCUAAGACGGGUAGCGGGUGUGAGAGCACGACCCGCCGCAUCGGGACUGAGACACUGCCCGGACUCCUACGGGAGGCUGCAGUAACGAAUAUUCCGCAAUGCGCGCAAGCGUGACGGAGCAAUGCCGCGUGUAGGAUGAAUCUCUUCGGAGUGUAAACUACUGUCAGAGACUAGGAACUCAAUGACUAAUCUCAAAGGAAGGGCCGGCUAACUUCGUGCCAGCAGCCGCGGUAAUACGAAGGGCCCGAGCGUUGCGCGGAAUUAUUGGGCUUAAAGGGUGCGUAGGCGGACCCGUUAGUGCUUUGUGAAAUCCCACGGCUCAACCGUGGAACUGCUCGGCAUACUGCGGGUCUUGAGGUCGGUAGAGGUCGCCGGAACUCUUGGUGUAGCGGUGAAAUGCGUAGAUAUCAAGAGGAACGCCAAUGGUGAAGACAGGCGGCUGGGCCGAUUCUGACGCUGAGGCACGAAAGCGUGGGUAGCGAACGGGAUUAGAUACCCCGGUAGUCCACGCCGUAAACAAUGUGCACUAGGUCGAGGGCGUUCUGACGCGACUCUCGGCCGAAGCGAAAGUGUUAAGUGCACCGCCUGGGGAGUACGGUCGCAAGGCUAAAACUCAAAGGAAUUGACGGGGGCUCACACAAGCGGUGGAGCAUGUGGCUUAAUUCGAGGCAACGCGAAGAACCUUAUCCUAGGUUUGACAUACACGGAUUAGCUAUAAGAAACUAUAGUGACACCUUCGGGUGGAACGUGAACAGGUGCUGCAUGGCUGUCGUCAGCUCGUGCUGUGAAGUGUCGGGUUAAGUCCCUUAACGAGCGCAACCCUUAUCGUUAGUUGCUAACAGGUAAUGCUGAGGACUCUAGCGAGACUGCCGGUGUUAAACCGGAGGAAGGUGGGGAUGACGUCAAGUCCGCAUGGCCUUUAUGCCUAGGGCUGCACACGUGCUACAAUGGCAAGUACAAAACGAAGCAAUACCGCGAGGUGGAGCAAAUCGCUAAAGCUUGCCCCAGUUCGGAUUGCAGGCUGCAACUCGCCUGCAUGAAGUUGGAAUCGCUAGUAAUCGUGGAUCAGCACGCCACGGUGAAUACGUUCCCGGGCCUUGUACACAC
RNAcentral lists this ribosomal RNA (1171 nucleotides) under marine metagenome. RNAcentral describes it as "bacterial SSU rRNA". It matches the Rfam family "Bacterial small subunit ribosomal RNA", at positions 206 to 1390 of the family's 1533-position model. The record is from RNAcentral.